RNAcentral lists this non-coding RNA (47 nucleotides) under Schistosoma mattheei. The record is from RNAcentral. Lineage: Eukaryota; Metazoa; Platyhelminthes; Trematoda; Strigeidida; Schistosomatidae.
AUCCAACUGACGAGUUCCGAAUAGGACGAAAAACGCGCCUGUUGGAU